GAACGUUAAAGACUAUGACGUUGAUAGGCCGGGUGUGUAAGCGCAGCGAUGCGUUGAGCUAACCGGUACUAAUGAACCGUGAGGCUUAACCUUACAACGCCGAAG
RNAcentral lists this ribosomal RNA (105 nucleotides) under Pluralibacter gergoviae. Its description in RNAcentral is "partial 23S ribosomal RNA". The stretch from base 1 to 93 matches the Rfam family "Bacterial large subunit ribosomal RNA", at positions 2833 to 2925 of the family's 2925-position model. The record is from RNAcentral. Lineage: Bacteria; Pseudomonadati; Pseudomonadota; Gammaproteobacteria; Enterobacterales; Enterobacteriaceae.